RNAcentral lists this ribosomal RNA (1275 nucleotides) under Triticum aestivum (bread wheat). RNAcentral's name for it is "partial small subunit ribosomal RNA". Lineage: Eukaryota; Viridiplantae; Streptophyta; Magnoliopsida; Poales; Poaceae. The record is from RNAcentral.
AUGAGAGUCCAACAUACGUUAGACCCAGCAGCUCACCAGACAAAAAGAAAGAAAGAACAACCUCUAAACUCAAGGAGUACAAAGCGGACAAGGACUGCAGAGGGAAGAAGAAAUGCGAACACAGAGGCUCCUAAACGAUUGAGAAAGGCUAAUGCUGAAGAAGAUAGGGAAUUGAAGCGCGCCAGAAGCGAAACCAACAAAAACAACACUAGAGUCAAUGUUGGAGACAACAACAGAACCAGAACCUCGACAAGUGCUAAUAGCAAGCCAUGGAACUUCGGAAGGCCAACAUACAAAUGCCAAUAUUGCAAAGCAUUGCUAUGGUGUGAAGAAAGAUUAAAUUCAAACAAAGGAACUACGGCACCCUCUUUUGGAAUAUGCUGCAAACAAUGGAAAAUCGAUCUGCCGCCACUAAGAGAACCUCCACCAUACCUUGGAAACCUCUUAAGAAGUGAAGGGCAGGAUUCGGUAAACUUCAAAGAAAAUAUAAGGUCAUACAACUCAAUGUUUUCAUUCACAUCGAUGGGAGGAGCUGUGGACAAGGAAAUAAACACUCGCAAAGGACCUUAUGUUUUUCGUUUGCAUGGACAAAACUACCACCAUAUCGGAACUCUUUUGCCUCAACGUACAGACAAACCUCGGUUUGCACAGCUAUACAUCUAUAAUACCGAAAAUGAGGUGGAAAACAGGAUAAAUGCGUCAAGAUGCAAUGAUAAAAAAUCAACAGUGGACCCCAACAUCGUCAAAGAACUGAAAAUAAUGCUCGACGACAACAACAUCCUCGCAAAAACCUUCAGAAUGGCAAGAGAUAGAUUCCAAGAAGGAGACUACCAUGAUUACACACUUCGGAUACUAGGCAAAAGGAACGGAACACACAACCUUCCAUCCGCAUCUAAAGUUGCAGCAUUGGUAGUAAGAGAUCCAACCGGAGAGAGUGAAGGACGUGACAUUGUUGUUGAGUACAAAAAUAUGGAUCCGCAAAGGAUAUCAGAGAUCCACCCGAAAUUCAUGUCCAUGCAAUAUCCGUUGUUGUUCCCAUAUGGAGAAGAUGGUUUUAAACUUGAGAUACCCUACAAGAAAACAAAAGGAGGUACAAACAGCAGGAAAUACGUAACGUUAUUGGACUACUAUGCAUUCUACCUACAACAACGUCCUGAUCAAGGAAUGUUACUACUCAAGUCCGGGCAUUUGUCACUGCAAUUUUGGGUGGAUGUAUACACAUGUAUCGAGCAAAAUAGACUAAACUGGAUCCGACACAAUCAAGGAAAGCUAUGA